ACACGGGAGUCCCGGGAUCGUGGGGCUGAGAGGGGCUCACGCCGAGCCCGACCGUCAUACCUGACCCGGAUCAUGCCGGCGCAGGAAG
This 88-nucleotide non-coding RNA is filed under the name Rhodococcus sp. WAY2. RNAcentral's name for it is "TPP". It matches the Rfam family "TPP riboswitch aptamer (THI element)", at positions 10 to 89 of the family's 105-position model. Rfam says of the family: Vitamin B(1) in its active form thiamin pyrophosphate (TPP) is an essential coenzyme that is synthesised by coupling of pyrimidine and thiazole moieties in bacteria. The previously detected thiamin-regulatory element, thi box was extended, resulting in a new, highly conserved RNA secondary structure, the THI element, which is widely distributed in eubacteria and also occurs in some archaea. Lineage: Bacteria; Bacillati; Actinomycetota; Actinomycetes; Mycobacteriales; Nocardiaceae. The record is from RNAcentral.